AGUGAACGCUGGCGGUAGGCCUAACACAUGCAAGUCGAACGGCAGCACAGUAAGAGCUUGCUCUUACGGGUGGCGAGUGGCGGACGGGUGAGGAAUACAUCGGAAUCUACUUUUUCGUGGGGGAUAACGUAGGGAAACUUACGCUAAUACCGCAUACGACCUACGGGUGAAAGCAGGGGAUCUUCGGACCCUGCGCGAUUGAAUGAGCCGAUGUCGGAUUAGCUAGUUGGCGGGGUAAAGGCCCACCAAGGCGACGAUCCGUAGCUGGUCUGAGAGGAUGAUCAGCCACACUGGAGCUGAGACACGGUCCAGACUCCUACGGGAGGCAGCAGUGGGGAAUAUUGGACAAUGGGCGCAAGCCUGAUCCAGCCAUACCGCGUGGGUGAAGAAGGCCUUCGGGUUGUAAAGCCCUUUUGUUGGGAAAGAAAAGCAGCAGGUUAAUACCCCGCUGUUCUGACGGUACCCAAAGAAUAAGCACCGGCUAACUUCGUG
This 492-nucleotide ribosomal RNA is filed under the name uncultured bacterium. RNAcentral's name for it is "partial 16S ribosomal RNA". It matches the Rfam family "Bacterial small subunit ribosomal RNA", at positions 29 to 507 of the family's 1533-position model. The record is from RNAcentral.